This 2783-nucleotide long non-coding RNA is filed under the name Vigna radiata. RNAcentral's name for it is "long non-coding RNA (VRAD_LNC010592)". The record is from RNAcentral. Lineage: Eukaryota; Viridiplantae; Streptophyta; Magnoliopsida; Fabales; Fabaceae.
AUAUAACAGAUGUUACAUUUCAUUUCAGGAGUUAACAUGAAUAAUAAGUGAGAACAGUGAUGAAUAAAUAGAGAGGUAUGAAAUAUACUUGAAAUUUAAAACUAUACAAUCAGUAAUAUAAAACACAACGUUUACAAAAUAGACCGAACGGUCUGGAAUACAGUUCAUUGACCUCACGGCCAACAUCAACAGAACUAGAAUAAGAGAAACUAUCCUAAGGACCGGACGGUCCUGCAAAACUCUCAGGCACGGCCUCCACGGGGAACUNNGUCUGCACGGCAUCCUCCAGAGUGUCCUCCAGGGUAGCUUCCAAAGUAACCUCUGCUCACAUCCAAAAGGAUGAUCACGGCCACGAAGAGAAUAACCGAACGGUUGAAUACCGAACGUCAACAUAGACAAAGACACAACAGAUAAGGGUAAGCUUAUGUAAAUUUAAUUUAUCAUUUCGUCAUACAAGUAAACAUACAAACUCAAACCAAUCAAUCAUGCAAGCAUACAAUUUCAAUACAUGCAUACUACAGAUCUCAAAUCAUGAUCGACCACUAAGACACUGUCCGGACGGUAUGAACAUGUAGCUCGGUCGUCCCUAGCACCCGGUGUGGUGUAGUAACUGUCUUUCCUUAUCAGCUGCCACCCGAGGUUAGUCCUCAAACGGUUAUCUGUUCAUAUAACCGCGGACCUCCUGCCAUUCCCACACAUGAGUGACCUUUCUCUACCUGAGAAAGCGUCCUCACGGAAUAUCAGGAUCAGGACGACACCUGAGUCAUUCCCACGUUCAUACUUUACCAAUCAUUACCAAUUCAUGAGACAUUCCUCCAGUGGAAUUCCCUUACUUAGCCAAAUUCAAUCAAGGUUCGUUAUUACUUCCAAGCUGUUAGGGUGUUGAGAGAAGUACCAGAUAUCCCAUACUGAAUUAUAAAUAAUAGUGACCGAACGGUUUAAUCGAAAUGGGAAACUGAGUAUUAAGAAUUCAAGUAAGUGGCCGGACGGUCAUAUCAAAGGUAAGACUGAAUAACAGAAGAAUGUCAAAUGUUUGAUAGGAUGGUUUGGCAAAGAAUGAGACCAUAACUCAAGGAUUGACUAUAAGUGAUAGUCAUCCGAACGGUUUGGCAAGAGUAUCAUAAAAUAGGCACUAAUAAUGGUCGAAGGUUGGUCUAUGACCAAACACUUAUCAGACCGGACGAAUUAAGAAAGAAGAAACUCUUUAAAGGAGUAAAAGGACUUUAGUCAAGUAAACUGAACGUCUCAAUAAUUAAAGGUUCACUAGACCGUUCAGUCAUUAAGUGACCGGACGGUAUCAAAGGAAGAAUAUUAGAUUUGCAAGUUUUAUAAUUUGAGUGUCAACCUAAGGCCGAACACUUGGAAGGCCGAACGCUUGGUUUAUGACCAGCGUUCCUAAAUAACUAUUGAUAAAACAAUUAGAGAAAACCAACUAAGUUUAGUAAUCACACUAGGCCAUUUAGUCCAAACAGACCGAACGGAAAAGGGAGGACCGAACGGUCCUAAUGACCUUCGAUCUCAGAUUCAUAUUUUCUCUAAGUUUCAUACAUACUCUUAUCAGUGCAGAAUUCAUAGUUCAUACUUAUCAUACAACUCAUACAACAACAUACCAUAUCUCAAUCAUAAGAAAUCAAGAAGCAUACUUUAGAUAUCAAACAUACAUUAAAUCACGCAUACAUUCAAACCAUACAGAGAAAUUAUAAUUAAACUUUAUAAGCUUCCCUUACCUCUAAUUCCAGCUAAGACUUUGAAAGGAGGUUGGUAGGAACUAUUCUUCUAAGUUUUCCAAGGUCAGAUGUAACCCAAAACCGGACGGUUCAAGUGAAAGAGGAGACCACCAGAAGUCUUCAGGUGUGAUCUGAAUGGUGAUCGGAACAGUAGAUGAGUUAGAAUUUUAGAGAGAAGGUAGGGAGGUUUAGAGAGAAGGAGGAGAAUUUGAGAUUUCAGAAAGUUGAGUUUGAGGAAGAAGAAGAAGAUUGCAUGGAAAAGUGGCGUCAGGUUUCAUUCUUACCUUAAAUACUGCCUCCAUUCCGAACGGUCGGCCAACUCCCAGCGUGACACCUGACUUCCACUUUCUGAGGUUCACUGCUCUGCUGCUGCUACACGGAUCACGAAGGAAGGGAAUUAAAAGUUUGACAGAGUUUGUCUCCCACUCACCAGGGGAGAACCGGACGGUCGACAAGUGUACUCCACUAAAGAGGGUAUUAAACGGGGUAUGACAACUUAGUUAUUUUUGUCUAAUCUUAAUUGAAAGUUAAAAUGUUUUUGUCUAAGCAUAUUUUGAGCAAAUUCAAUAAUUGAAUUGCAAUGAUAGUUUAUGUAAAGUGAAAAUUUGACUGGAAGCAAGAUUAAAUGAAAAUGGAACUAAGAUCAGAAAUGUAAAAAUUAAAAUUAGUUUCAACAACAAAAUUAAUUUAGUUUCAAAAGUACUUUAAUUAGAGACUUAAUUAAUUAAUAAUUUGAUUAUUAUAUUUAAAUUGACUAAGAGAUAAUAAUGUAAGUUUAAUAAAAUAUUUAAUUAAUAAUUUAAUUUUUAUAUAUUUCUUUUGAUUUAAUUGAGUUUAAAUAUGAAUUACACUGAGAUAAUAUGAUUUAUUUUUUCAUGACUUUCACGAAUCAUGAUAACAAAUUUAAAAGUUAUAAUUAGGUUCACGUGUAUAUUUCUUAGAAUAUAGUAAACAAAAAUAAAUAUUUUAAAUCUAAAGGAGACAUGUAGUAAGAUUGUAUCUUCAAAUAAGAAAGAGUUGAAAAGGAAAAAGAGAAUUUAAAUUUACACAUAAUCA